CCUACGAGUGGCAGCAGUGGGGAAUAUUGCACAAUGGGGGCAACCCUGAUGCAGCCAUGCCGCGUGAGUGAAGAAGUAUUUCGGUAUGUAAAGCUCCAUCAGCAGGGAAGUGAAUGACGGUACCUGACUAAGAAUCCCCGGCUAACUACGUUCCAGCAGCCGCGGUUAUACGUAGGGGGCGAGCGUUAUCCGGAUUUACUGGGUGUAAAGGGAGCGUAGGCGGUUCAGUAAGUCUGAAGUGAAAGCCCGUGGCUUAACCGCGGAACGGCUUUGGAAACUGUGGAACUGGAGUGCUGGAGAGGCAAGCGGAAUGUCUAGUGUAGCGGUGAAAUGCGGAGAUAUUAGGAGGAACACCAGUGGCGAAGGCAGCUUGCUGGACAGUAACUGACGUUGAGGCUCGAAAGCGUGGGGAGCAAACAGGAUUAGAUACCCCAGUAGUC
This 440-nucleotide ribosomal RNA is filed under the name uncultured bacterium. RNAcentral describes it as "partial 16S ribosomal RNA". It matches the Rfam family "Bacterial small subunit ribosomal RNA", at positions 338 to 795 of the family's 1533-position model. The record is from RNAcentral.